Molecule: ribosomal RNA, 548 nt
Filed under: uncultured Glomeromycotina
Lineage: Eukaryota; Fungi; Glomeromycota
Description: SSU rRNA
Rfam family: Eukaryotic small subunit ribosomal RNA
Source: RNAcentral
UUGGAGGGCAAGUCUGGUGCCAGCAGCCGCGGUAAUUCCAGCUCCAAUAGCGUAUAUUAAAGUUGUUGCAGUUAAAAAGCUCGUAGUUGAAUUUCGGGAUCAGUACGUUGGUCGUGCCUUAGGUACGUACUGGUGUUACUGGUUCCUACCUUCUGACGAAUCAUCAUGUCAUUCAUUUGGUGUGGCGGGGAAUCAGGACUGUUACUUUGAAAAAAUUAGAGUGUUUAAAGCAGGCUCGCGCUUGAAUACAUUAGCAUGGAAUAAUGAAAUAGGACGUUGAUCCUAUUUUGUUGGUUUCUAGGAUUGACGUAAUGAUUAAUAGGGAUAGUUGGGGGCAUUAGUAUUCAAUUGUCAGAGGUGAAAUUCUUGGAUUUAUUGAAGACUAACUACUGCGAAAGCAUUUGCCAAGGAUGUUUUCAUUAAUCAAGAACGAAAGUUAGGGGAUCGAAGACGAUCAGAUACCGUCGUAGUCUUAACCAUAAACUAUGCCGACUAGGGAUCGGAUGAUGUUAAUUUUUUAAUGACUCAUUCGGCGCCUUACGGGAAAC